AGGGACCACAGCGAGGAGCCUCAAAAAUGGGAACUGCCAGCAAAGGCCACGGCCCUGAGCUGCACUCCCCCCGAAGAGGAGGUUGGUAGCUGCAUUCAGAACCCACUUCAGCAUCUCCCUGCAUCUGCUCGGCCCGCUGCAAGCACUGCUUUGCCUUAGGGCUGAAGAGCAAGCGAGUGGGAAGGUUCAGAGCAGAACCAAAGCACCCCAGCAUCCAAAAUGCAAUGCACAAAGCAACACAGGUUGCUGCCAGGCCCAUAAGGCACCCAGCACCUGAGAAAGCAUCUCUAGGAGGUGAGUGGGGUGCGAGACAAAGUCGGGGAUGUCCCCUGGAGAAUGGGUGGGAGAUGGAGGUGAAGCUGAGCUGGGGCGUUUGGGUGCUCUGCAGCCAGUUCAAAGGCUCUGCUGUAGGGCUGUGCGUCACUUGCAGAGAGAGAGAAUAUUGUUUUUGGAGAAGGGAGGAGGAGGGGGAAGCCAGGAGUGGGGAAGGAGGAGGAAAAAUUUGGUGAAGGAGGAGGGGCGGUUCGCAUGGCUCCUGAGCACCUGCAUAGUGCGUGGCAGGAAGGAGGCAGGGGGACCCUGCCCUGCAGACAGGCUGCUUUUGUUGCAUCCCAAACGGGCCUCAAUUAAGUCUGACAGAAAGAGGGCAGAGUCCCACACGCUACGGCCAAAACCCCCGAGCUCAGCCAGACCUGGAGAGCUUCGGCACAGCGGGGAGAGGUGUGAAGCUCCGCGAAUCGCCCUCUGCAACGCCCCGUGCCUUGGCCAGGCAGCCUACAGCUCCCAGCUGGAGCAUCUCCAGAGCCUGGAGGCCACCACGGCUCCAUGACAGCCCUCCCUGCGGCUCCCUUGCCCAUCAUUGCCCAGCACAGCCCUGUGCCCAGCUAUGGGGCUCAGCUGCGGCCCCGCGCCCAUCCCGGCACGUCGUGCCAGCUUCUAAACAGUUAACACCAACAGAACCAGACUGCAGCGUUUCCCUCGUCCCCAGAUCCCUCCAAAAAAGAAAAGAAACGAUCCUCUUAUCCUCUCCUCCACCCACCUGGGCCACCUCCUGGCACCACCCCAUGCCCACCACCAGCGCGGGGCUCGGGGGGCUGCGGGUUCCCACCACGCUCGCCGCGGCUGCCAUGUUGAAUUGCAAAUCCGACAUGAGUCGACAUCUUUUUUUUCCCCCCCCCGCCCUCCGUAGUGGAAGCGAAAAGGACCCGCGUGGGGGACGGCGGUGAGCGGAGCGGGAGGAAAAAGCACCUCGAGUGGUGCUCCGAGCUCAACGCCAAGAAAUGGGCGGUGCCUGGAUGCCAGGCUCCAUCCGAAUGAGACGCCGAAGGCCGGGGCAGGCUGGCACAAAGGCGAGCUGGCAGGAAUUCCUGCACUCGGCGCUCUGAAAAUCCACCCUGAAGAGUUCUGCCCCAUUUGGCCCCGAAGGGCGCGAGCACAGAGCGGGGGGGGAUAGUAAUAAUAAUGGUAAAAAUGGGGCAGAAAUAAAGCUGGGACCUUCCUGUGCGUCGACGCAGGUUAAACAAAAGGCCUGGGGACGUGGAUAGGGCUCUGCGCCCCCCCCGCCGUGCGCUCCUUCCCGCCCGCACGCCCCCUCGUCCCGCCUCGUGCUCGGUGCAAAAAGGGCAAAAAAAGGGCAAAAAGCCGAAAGCGACGCGCCAGCCACGAGGGCAGCAUGGCAGCAACCGCCUCCGCGGGGGCAGGACGGGGGCCGUUUGUGUUUUAGGGCGUAUUUGGGGGCCUUUUUGUUGCUGCUGCGAGCACAUGGGUUGCGCCGAUGAUAAAAAGGGAGUCCCG
Molecule: long non-coding RNA, 1794 nt
Organism: Gallus gallus (chicken)
Lineage: Eukaryota; Metazoa; Chordata; Aves; Galliformes; Phasianidae
Source: Ensembl